RNAcentral lists this ribosomal RNA (506 nucleotides) under uncultured bacterium. RNAcentral's name for it is "partial 16S ribosomal RNA". It matches the Rfam family "Bacterial small subunit ribosomal RNA", at positions 28 to 523 of the family's 1533-position model. The record is from RNAcentral.
GAUGAACGCUAGCUACAGGCUUAACACAUGCAAGUCGAGGGGUAACGAGAGGAAAGCUUGCUUUCCUUGUCGACGACCGGCGCACGGGUGAGUAACGCGUAUCCAACCUGCCCCCAACUAGGGAAUAACCUUGCGAAAAUAAGACUAAUACCCUAUAAUUUCCUCAGAUGUCAUCUGACGAGGAAUAAAGAUUUAUCGGUUGUGGAUGGGGAUGCGUCUGAUCAGCUUGUUGGCGGGGUAACGGCCCACCAAGGCAACGAUCAGUAGGGGUUCUGAGAGGAAGGGCCCACAGAUUGGAACUGAGACACGGUCCAAACUCCUACGGGAGGCAGCAGUGAGGAAUAUUGGUCAAUGGGCGGAAGCCUGAACCAGCCAAGUAGCGUGCAGGAUGACGGCCCUAUGGGUUGUAAACUGCUUUUAUACAGGAAUAAAGUUAGCCACGUGUGGUUAUUUGUAGGUACUGUAUGAAUAAGGACCGGCUAAUUCCGUGCCAGCCGCCGCGGUAA